UACAGAGGUCCCAAGCGUUGUUCGGAUUCACUGGGCGUAAAGGGUGCGUAGGCGGUUGGGUAAGUCUGAUGUGAAAUCUCACAGCUUAACUGUGAAACUGCAUUGGAUACUAUCCGGCUAGAGGAAUGGAGGGGAGACUGGAAUACUUGGUGUAGCAGUGAAAUGCGUAGAUAUCAAGUGGAACACCAGUGGCGAAGGCGGCUCACUGGUCCGGUACUGACGCUGAGGUGCGAAAGCGUGGGGAGCAAACAGG
Molecule: ribosomal RNA, 253 nt
Filed under: uncultured bacterium
Lineage: Bacteria
Description: partial 16S ribosomal RNA
Rfam family: Bacterial small subunit ribosomal RNA
Source: RNAcentral